UGGGGAAUAUUGCGCAAUGGGCGCAAGCCUGACGCAGCAACGCCGCGUGAGUGAUGAAGGCCUUCGGGUCGUAAAGCUCUGUCGGAGGGAACGAAUGCUCUUGGGGUUAACAGCCUCGAGAAGUGACGGUACCCUCAAAGGACGCACCGGCUAACUCUGUGCCCGCAGCCGCGGUAAUACAGAGGGUGCGAGCGUUAAUCGGAAUUACUGGGCGUAAAGCGUGCGCAGGCGGUUCGCCAAGUCAGGUGUGAAAUCCCCGGGCUUAACCUGGGAAUUGCGCUUGAAACUAGCGGGCUUGAGUGUGGCAGAGGGGGGUGGAAUUCCACGUGUAGCAGUGAAAUGCGUAGAGAUGUGGAGGAACACCGAUGGCGAAGGCAGCCCCCUGGGUCAACACUGACGCUCAUGCACGAAAGCGUGGGGAGCAAA
This 426-nucleotide ribosomal RNA is filed under the name uncultured bacterium. RNAcentral's name for it is "bacterial SSU rRNA". It matches the Rfam family "Bacterial small subunit ribosomal RNA", at positions 355 to 772 of the family's 1533-position model. The record is from RNAcentral.